Molecule: ribosomal RNA, 2989 nt
Filed under: Salmonella enterica subsp. enterica serovar Newport
Lineage: Bacteria; Pseudomonadati; Pseudomonadota; Gammaproteobacteria; Enterobacterales; Enterobacteriaceae
Also listed under: 1 other name
Description: 23S ribosomal RNA
Rfam family: Bacterial large subunit ribosomal RNA
Source: RNAcentral
GGUUAAGCGACUAAGCGUACACGGUGGAUGCCCUGGCAGUCAGAGGCGAUGAAGGGCGUGCUAAUCUGCGAUAAGCGCCGGUAAGGUGAUAUGAACCGUUAUAACCGGCGAUACCCGAAUGGGGAAACCCAGUGUGAUUCGUCACACUAUCAUUAACUGAAUCCAUAGGUUAAUGAGGCGAACCGGGGGAACUGAAACAUCUAAGUACCCCGAGGAAAAGAAAUCAACCGAGAUUCCCCCAGUAGCGGCGAGCGAACGGGGAGGAGCCCAGAGCCUGAAUCAGCAUGUGUGUUAGUGGAAGCGUCUGGAAAGGCGCGCGAUACAGGGUGACAGCCCCGUACACAAAAGCGCAUGUGCUGUGAGCUCGAUGAGUAGGGCGGGACACGUGGUAUCCUGUCUGAAUAUGGGGGGACCAUCCUCCAAGGCUAAAUACUCCUGACUGACCGAUAGUGAACCAGUACCGUGAGGGAAAGGCGAAAAGAACCCCGGCGAGGGGAGUGAAAAAGAACCUGAAACCGUGUACGUACAAGCAGUGGGAGCACAGGUUUACCUGUGUGACUGCGUACCUUUUGUAUAAUGGGUCAGCGACUUAUAUUCUGUAGCAAGGUUAACCGUAUAGGGGAGCCGAAGGGAAACCGAGUCUUAACCGGGCGUUAAGUUGCAGGGUAUAGACCCGAAACCCGGUGAUCUAGCCAUGGGCAGGUUGAAGGUUGGGUAACACUAACUGGAGGACCGAACCGACUAAUGUUGAAAAAUUAGCGGAUGACCUGUGGCUGGGGGUGAAAGGCCAAUCAAACCGGGAGAUAGCUGGUUCUCCCCGAAAGCUAUUUAGGUAGCGCCUCGUGAAUUCAUCUCCGGGGGUAGAGCACUGUUUCGGCUAGGGGGCCAUCCCGGCUUACCAACCCGAUGCAAACUGCGAAUACCGGAGAAUGUUAUCACGGGAGACACACGGCGGGUGCUAACGUCCGUCGUGAAGAGGGAAACAACCCAGACCGCCAGCUAAGGUCCCAAAGUCAUGGUUAAGUGGGAAACGAUGUGGGAAGGCCCAGACAGCCAGGAUGUUGGCUUAGAAGCAGCCAUCAUUUAAAGAAAGCGUAAUAGCUCACUGGUCGAGUCGGCCUGCGCGGAAGAUGUAACGGGGCUAAACCAUGCACCGAAGCUGCGGCAGCGAACGUAUCACUUAAAGCGAUUCAGCGGGUUACGAUUGACGGAGCGAAGCGACGUCAAAGCGUAUACAAAGUCGAGUCGGUUUAAGGAUACGUUCGUUGGGUAGGGGAGCGUUCUGUAAGCCUGUGAAGGUGUGUCGUGAGGCAUGCUGGAGGUAUCAGAAGUGCGAAUGCUGACAUAAGUAACGAUAAAGCGGGUGAAAAGCCCGCUCGCCGGAAGACCAAGGGUUCCUGUCCAACGUUAAUCGGGGCAGGGUGAGUCGACCCCUAAGGCGAGGCCGAAAGGCGUAGUCGAUGGGAAACGGGUUAAUAUUCCCGUACUUGGUGUUACUGCGAAGGGGGGACGGAGAAGGCUAUGUUGGCCGGGCGACGGUUGUCCCGGUUUAAGCGUGUAGGUGUGUGUUCCAGGUAAAUCCGGUUCACUUUAACACUGAGGCGUGACGACGAGGCACUACGGUGCUGAAGCAACAAAUGCCCUGCUUCCAGGAAAAGCCUCUAAGCAUCAGGUAACAUCAAAUCGUACCCCAAACCGACACAGGUGGUCAGGUAGAGAAUACCAAGGCGCUUGAGAGAACUCGGGUGAAGGAACUAGGCAAAAUGGUGCCGUAACUUCGGGAGAAGGCACGCUGACACGUAGGUGAAGUGAUUUACUCAUGGAGCUGAAGUCAGUCGAAGAUACCAGCUGGCUGCAACUGUUUAUUAAAAACACAGCACUGUGCAAACACGAAAGUGGACGUAUACGGUGUGACGCCUGCCCGGUGCCGGAAGGUUAAUUGAUGGGGUCAGCGCAAGCGAAGCUCCUGAUCGAAGCCCCGGUAAACGGCGGCCGUAACUAUAACGGUCCUAAGGUAGCGAAAUUCCUUGUCGGGUAAGUUCCGACCUGCACGAAUGGCGUAAUGAUGGCCAGGCUGUCUCCACCCGAGACUCAGUGAAAUUGAACUCGCUGUGAAGAUGCAGUGUACCCGCGGCAAGACGGAAAGACCCCGUGAACCUUUACUAUAGCUUGACACUGAACAUUGAGCCUUGAUGUGUAGGAUAGGUGGGAGGCUUUGAAGUGUGGACGCCAGUCUGCAUGGAGCCGACCUUGAAAUACCACCCUUUAAUGUUUGAUGUUCUAACGUGGACCCGUGAUCCGGGUUGCGGACAGUGUCUGGUGGGUAGUUUGACUGGGGCGGUCUCCUCCUAAAGAGUAACGGAGGAGCACGAAGGUUGGCUAAUCCUGGUCGGACAUCAGGAGGUUAGUGCAAUGGCAUAAGCCAGCUUGACUGCGAGCGUGACGGCGCGAGCAGGUGCGAAAGCAGGUCAUAGUGAUCCGGUGGUUCUGAAUGGAAGGGCCAUCGCUCAACGGAUAAAAGGUACUCCGGGGAUAACAGGCUGAUACCGCCCAAGAGUUCAUAUCGACGGCGGUGUUUGGCACCUCGAUGUCGGCUCAUCACAUCCUGGGGCUGAAGUAGGUCCCAAGGGUAUGGCUGUUCGCCAUUUAAAGUGGUACGCGAGCUGGGUUUAGAACGUCGUGAGACAGUUCGGUCCCUAUCUGCCGUGGGCGCUGGAGAACUGAGGGGGGCUGCUCCUAGUACGAGAGGACCGGAGUGGACGCAUCACUGGUGUUCGGGUUGUCAUGCCAAUGGCACUGCCCGGUAGCUAAAUGCGGAAGAGAUAAGUGCUGAAAGCAUCUAAGCACGAAACUUGCCCCGAGAUGAGUUCUCCCUGAGACUUAAAGUCUCCUGAAGGAACGUUGAAGACGACGACGUUGAUAGGCCGGGUGUGUAAGCGCAGCGAUGCGUUGAGCUAACCGGUACUAAUGAACCGUGAGGCUUAACCUU